AGUGCCAGAAAGGGGAAGUGACCAGUUGAGAUUACCCACCCUAUGGGUGAGUGAGCAGGAUAAUCACCCAGGCUCCUGACCCCUCUACCCAGUAGCCUGCACAGAACUUGUGUGACCCAACUCGGUGUAGCUGUCCAGGAUGGCUCCCUAGAGACCUGAACCUGGCACAAGGGAAUUGUACCCCAUGGAAGAGGUAACUGAGAAAACUAGAAAUUUAUCCAGAAUUUUGAAGAAAAAAAAUGAGAUUCAAGAAUUCUAUAUAUAAGCACUGACAAUUAAAAGUUUGGUACUACAAUGAGUUGGAGUGGAGAAACAAUACUCAGGAGAGAGUAAAAUGCUACCGCUGCUUACAAGAGCUGUUUGGCACCAUCUGGAGAAUCUGAAAUUGUGCAUACCAGUGACCCAGACAAUCCUCAUCUCACUAUGUUCCUGGAGAGACUCUUAUACAUAUUGUAAAGGUGAAAAGGAAUGAUAAAAUCAGCACUGGAGAAAAUGGAAACAGAUACGCUCCAAUGAAAUGAUCAGCAUUAAAAUCCCCUGUAACUAUUGGUAGGAAAAUAGUGCAUAUAUCAAAGAUGUUAUAAGAACAUGUAUCAUUCAACUCACCAAUUCUAUUUCCAGGAAUUUAUUCUAGAUGCAGCGGGGGCAUCUAGACUAUUCAGACUAGUCUAUUCAGACUAUUCUAACUAGGAUUUAUUGCAAGACAAUUUAGAAUAUCAAAAACUGGAGACAACUUAAAUGUCCUAAAAUUAGAAGCUGGCGUGAAUAGAUUAUGAUACAAAGAUAUAAAUCAAUAUAAAAUUAUGACAUAUAUAUUUAUUUUCCUGAAAAUGCUUUCAUGCUAUAGAAAGCCUAGAAUUCACAUUACAAAUAGUGUUCAUUUUUAUAAUACUUAUAUAUUCAUAUGAUUUUAUAUACAUACACACAUAUGUGCACACAUGCAUAUAUAUUUCCACAGAAAACAGUCUAAAAAGAAAAUAUAAGUAGAGACAGUUGUGUUAUUUCAGAUGGGUGAUUUUUAAAAGUUUUUUCAACAUAUGUACUAUGCUUAUAUAUUACUCGUGUAUGAAAAGGAAACAAAACUAGCACAAGGCUGGAAUGUGCUCUUCCUCUAAAUCUUGAGGGUCAAUAUUGGAGAGGAAAAGAAAAUUAUCAUUAUUUAAAGAUAUUACUAUCAGCUUAAGAAACCAAGGAGAAUCAAUUAGAAAAGUAUUAGAAAUAGAGUGAACAAUGGCUUAUUAAAAAACAGAUAUACAGAUUUCAUUAGCUUCCAUAAAUAACCAACUAGAGAACAUAAUAAAAAAUAUCACCAGUAGCAACCAAAUCCAUGACAUAUUUAGGAAUAAGUGUACUAAGCACAGUGGGGCCUAUGUGAAAACACACACACACACACACACCCAUACAUACAUGUACACGUCCUUCCCCACAUAUACCUUCUACACAUAUAGCUAUAUCCAGAAAGAACUUUAAAUGAGAUUUUAAUAAAAAGGUAGACAUAUUAUAUUCUUUUCUGUUUUAAAGAUUUUAUUUAUUUGAGAGAGAGAGAGAGCAGGAAGGAGCAAGGGGAGGGGCAGAAACAGAUUCUCUA
This is a long non-coding RNA of Canis lupus familiaris (dog), 1588 nucleotides long. RefSeq lists it as uncharacterized. The record is from RefSeq and is a predicted model, not a curated record. NCBI's taxonomy places the organism in Eukaryota, Metazoa, Chordata, Mammalia, Carnivora, Canidae. The transcript has 4 exons.